Molecule: unclassified non-coding RNA, 1665 nt
Filed under: Polistes canadensis
Lineage: Eukaryota; Metazoa; Arthropoda; Insecta; Hymenoptera; Vespidae
Description: serine protease inhibitor 3/4-like, transcript variant X10
Source: RNAcentral
AUUGUCGACGUGUGAGUUUUAUUGAGCGAAAGAAGCAAAUCCUUGUGUCUUCGUUGAUAUCAUUCGAUUGUAUAACAUUCGAAGGGAAAAUUUGAUGUGUUGAUUGGUCCGCUAUAUUGAAUAAUCUUGUACGAUUCAUCGCAUGGGCGUUGUCUGUAAAAAUAUGAUGUGGGCGUUGGUUAUAAUGGUACAAUUUUCUCUACAAGAGUGGACUAAAGUGGACAAGAGUUGUGGUAUUGACUUAUUAAUUUUGGCAAUCUGCCUGGUGAACACCAUGGCUGGGCCUACUGAAAACAGGGCCGUUCAGGCUGUCACUGAAGCAAACAACCAAUUCUCAACGUCCUUCUUCGCUGAGGUCGCGUCAUCAAAUCAUGGCAAUUUGGUCACUUCUCCUCUUAGCGCUUCCGUUGUUCUUUCCAUGGCUGCUUAUGGCGCCCGCGGAGAGACUCAAGACGAAAUGAGAAGUGUUCUCCAUCUUCUGCCGGAAUCCCAAGCUAAAUCUGGAUAUUCAAGUCUUCUUACGACUCUUAACCAAGUCACAGACGUAGAACUUCGUCUCGCCAAUAAAGUUUUCGUAAACAACAAAUUCUCCGUUAAACCAACUUUCCAACAACUAACUCAAAAUGCAUUCUUAUCGACCUCGAAAUCUGUUGACUUUUCUCAAAGCGCAUCGGCUGCUAAUACUAUCAACCAGUGGGUUGAGGAACAAACUAACCACCGCAUUAAGGACCUCGUCAAAUCCGAGAGUUUAAAUGGUGGAACCGCCAUGGUGCUUGUCAAUGCUGUCUACUUCAAGGGUAACUGGAAGAAGAAGUUCGAUCCUAAAUUGACUCAAGAUAGACCCUUCCACGUCAGCAAGACUGAAGUUAAGAAUGUACCUACUAUGUACAGGUCUGGAAAGUACAACUAUGGUGUACUUCCUGAAUGUAAAGCCUCUUUUAUCGAGCUUCCAUACAAAGGUGAAGAGUUCAGCAUGGUAAUCAUCUUACCUGACGAAGUCGACGGAUUGGCUGCAAUUGAAAAGAAAUUGGCAGUCCACGGUCUCGGUGAAGUUCUCAAGAGAGGACACAUUACUGAUGUUGACGUUUACUUGCCGAAAUUCAAGAUCGAAAGCUCUAUUAAACUCAAUGAACAUCUUAAGAACAUGGGAAUAAGAAAGGCGUUCAGCAUAGCUGAAGCUAACUUUAGCGGUAUUUCCGAUACUGACCUCUACAUCUCUGAAGUUGUACAGAAGGCAUUCAUUGAAGUAAAUGAAGAAGGUAGCGAAGCUGCAGGAGCAACUGGUAUCAUAGUUGCAUUAGCGAGUGCAAGUAUCAAUCCACAACCACCACCAAUUUUCAAGGUUGAUCGUCCCUUCCAUGUGAAAAUAAUUAGAACACAGAAUUCUCCGAAUAAGGACUCCUCAGAUGCGAAAUUAGAACUAUUCACCGCGCACGUGGUUGAUCCGUCAGUAUAAGUCAAUAAAUAAAAACUGACUCCUUUGAUAAUGCAUUACCAAAUAUAUUAGUAUUAAGCAGUAACGUUGCUUAAGAUUCUUAUCAUAAUUAUAUAGAUGUAUUUAACGCUUUGCUGUAGAAAGAAAGAAAUUUUCUCUUUAGAAUUUGUAUUAGUAAUAUGAACAAACUUAUUUUAGCAACAAAAAUAGAUAUCUAGUUUUAUUCACUA